CAGCAGCCGCGGGAAUACAGAGGGUGCGAGCGUUAAUCGGAUUUACUGGGCGUAAAGCGUGCGUAGGCGGCUUCUUAAGUCGGAUGUGAAAUCCCUGAGCUUAACUUAGGAAUUGCAUUCGAUACUGGGAAGCUAGAGUAUGGGAGAGGAUGGUAUAAUUCCAGGUGUAGCGGUGAAAUGCGUAGAGAUCUGGAGGAAUACCGAUGGCGAAGGCAGCCAUCUGGCCUAAUACUGACGCUGAGGUACGAAAGCAUGGGGAGCAAACAGGAUUAGAGACCCCCGUAGUCCCUGUCUCUUAUAC
Molecule: ribosomal RNA, 301 nt
Filed under: uncultured bacterium
Lineage: Bacteria
Description: partial 16S ribosomal RNA
Rfam family: Bacterial small subunit ribosomal RNA
Source: RNAcentral